Molecule: ribosomal RNA, 359 nt
Filed under: Syncephalis sp. KL-2016a
Lineage: Eukaryota; Fungi; Zoopagomycota; Zoopagomycetes; Zoopagales; Piptocephalidaceae
Description: bacterial SSU rRNA
Rfam family: Eukaryotic small subunit ribosomal RNA
Source: RNAcentral
CGCGCUACACUGACGGAGCCAGCGAGUACUGGCGCAAGCCUUCCUUGGCCGAAAGGUCCGGGUAAUCUUGGGAAACUCCGUCGUGCUGGGGAUAGUCCUUUGCAAUUAUCGGACUUGAACGAGGAAUUCCUAGUAAGCGCGGUUCAUCAGAUCGCGUUGAUUACGUCCCUGCCCUUUGUACACACCGCCCGUCGCUACUACCGAUUGAAUGGCUUAGUGAGGCCCUCGGAUUGGCGUAUUACUGCCGGCAACGGCUGGUUAUAUGCCGAGAAGUUGGUCAAACUUGGUCAUUUAGAGGAAGUAAAAGUCGUAACAAGGUAUCCGUAGGUGAACCUGCGGAUGGAUCAUUAACGUUUAAU